This 230-nucleotide unclassified non-coding RNA is filed under the name uncultured fungus. RNAcentral's name for it is "sequence contains ITS1, 5.8S rRNA gene". The stretch from base 182 to 230 matches the Rfam family "5.8S ribosomal RNA", at positions 1 to 49 of the family's 154-position model. Lineage: Eukaryota; Fungi. The record is from RNAcentral.
UCUCCGUAGGUGAACCUGCGGAGGGAUCAUUACCGAGUGAGGGUCCUUGUGGCCCGACCUCCAACCCUUUGUGAACCAAACUUGUUGCUUCGGGGGCGACCCUGCCGCUUCGGCGGUGCGGCGCCCCCGGAGGCCAUUAAACACUGCAUCAUUGCGUCGGAGUUUAAAACAAAUCAAACAAAACUUUCAACAACGGAUCUCUUGGUUCUGGCAUCGAUGAAGAACGCAGC